GAAGAUACAGCUCAGUGGUAGAGUGCAUGUUUAGCAUGCAUGAGGUCCUGGGUUCAAUCCCCAGUGCCUCA
This 71-nucleotide transfer RNA is filed under the name Camelus bactrianus (Bactrian camel). It matches the Rfam family "tRNA". From Rfam's summary of the family: Transfer RNA (tRNA) molecules are approximately 80 nucleotides in length. Their secondary structure includes four short double-helical elements and three loops (D, anti-codon, and T loops). Further hydrogen bonds mediate the characteristic L-shaped molecular structure. tRNAs have two regions of fundamental functional importance: the anti-codon, which is responsible for specific mRNA codon recognition, and the 3' end, to which the tRNAs corresponding amino acid is attached (by aminoacyl-tRNA synthetases). tRNAs cope with the degeneracy of the genetic code in two manners: having more than one tRNA (with a specific anti-codon) for a particular amino acid; and 'wobble' base-pairing, i.e. permitting non-standard base-pairing at the 3rd anti-codon position. The record is from Rfam by way of RNAcentral. RNAcentral also lists the same sequence under 3 other names. Lineage: Eukaryota; Metazoa; Chordata; Mammalia; Artiodactyla; Camelidae.